AGAAGUAGGUAGCUUAACCGCAAGGAGGGCGCUUACCACGGUAGGAUUCGUGACUGGGGUGAAGUCGUAACAAGGUAGCCGUAUCGGAAGGUGCGGCUGGAUCACCUCCUUU
This 112-nucleotide ribosomal RNA is filed under the name Massilia hydrophila. RNAcentral describes it as "partial 16S ribosomal RNA". It matches the Rfam family "Bacterial small subunit ribosomal RNA", at positions 1422 to 1533 of the family's 1533-position model. Lineage: Bacteria; Pseudomonadati; Pseudomonadota; Betaproteobacteria; Burkholderiales; Oxalobacteraceae. The record is from RNAcentral.